This 253-nucleotide ribosomal RNA is filed under the name uncultured bacterium. RNAcentral describes it as "partial 16S ribosomal RNA". It matches the Rfam family "Bacterial small subunit ribosomal RNA", at positions 524 to 776 of the family's 1533-position model. The record is from RNAcentral.
UACAGGGGGUGCAAACGUUGCUCGGAAUCAUUGGGCGUAAAGCGCACGUAGGCGGUUCGUUAUGUCGGAUGUGAAAGCCCUUGGCUUAACCGAGGAAGUGCAUCCGAAACUGGCGAGCUAGAGUACUAAAGAGGAUCGCGGAAUUCCCGGUGUAGAGGUGAAAUGCGCAGAUAUCGGGAGGAACACCGGUGGCGAAGGCGGUUCUCUGGGCCUUACCUGACGCUGAGGAGCGAAAGCGUGGGGAGCGAACAGG